GGGGCCCUCACAAAAAAUGUAUGUAUUAAUUACUUAGAACUCGGGAUAGGCCGCUUAGCGAACUCCACGGCCUUACCCAAAAUAACAACACGCUAGUUCUUUAGGACGCGUCUUAAUUAAUCUUACUCUCUUAAAUUUGGGUGCACAUUUAUGUGACCCAAAUCCAAAUCUCAGCGGAAUCGAAAUGGGUCUUUAAUCACGGGUACAUUGAUUGUGACGUGGUUUGAGAUGCGUGUCCAUGACGUUGCAAAUUCCUUUAAAAAAUAAGAAUGAGAUGAGCCUUGUCGAAUAAAAAUAUAAAACUGCGGGGCCCUCAGUAAAUAGUUGCUUUAAAACUACUUAGACUUCGGGAUGGACCGUUUAGCAAAAUUUUACGGCCCUACCCAAAGUAAAUGAUACGCUAGUCGCUUUAGGCGCGCCUUUAAUACUUUAAUUUUCUUAAACUCGGGUGCACAUUUAUGUGACCCAAAUCCAAAUCUCAAUGGAGUCAAAGUGUGUCGACGACCACGGGUACAUUGAUUGUGACGAGGUUCGAGAUACAUUUUUACAACGUUGCAAUUCCCUGUAAAAAUAAUAAUAAUAAGAAUAAGAAUAAAUAAUAAUGAAAGCGGUAAAGAAUUAAAAUAUGCACAUAAGUUCAUAUUUAUAUAAAAAUCAGAUAAUCAAGCCGAACAUGACAGUUGAGCGACCGUGCUAGAACCACGGAAUUCGGGAAUGCCUAAUACCUUCUCCCGGGUUAACAGAAUUCCUUAUCUGGAUUUUUGGUUUGCGGACUGUAAUACAGAGUCAUUCUUUUCCUCGAUUCGGGAUUAAAUUGGUGACUUGGGACACCCUAAAUCUCCCAAGUGGCGACUCUGAAAUAAACAAAUAAAUUCCGUUUCGAUUGUCCUUUAAUCGGAAAAACUCCUUCACCCCUUGCGGGGGGCGGAAAGAGGAGGUGUGACAGCUAUCUUCAUAUGGUAGCCACAAAGUGUUGUAGUGUGGCAAAAAAUCUAAUUUUAUUUGCCACGAAAACUUAGAUAUGUAAUUGCUUUCGUAUAUUAGUCCGUGGAAAAAGAAUUUUUUUAGCUACGAACUAAAAGUUCCAUGGCUACAAAUCAUUAAAAAAAGUCGUGGUUAUAUUAUUUUUAUUAUAUUUUAAUUUUUUGACAAAAAAAAAUUAAUUUUUUAUGGUGACAAAAUUUUCUCUCACAAAUCUCUUGUUUCUUAGAUAUUUGAGUUUUUCUAAUAUUUUUUAAUUAUUCUAUGGUCGUGCAUAUUAUAUUAAAACUAAUAACAUAUUAAGCAUGAGAAAUAACUUAUUCCGCACAAACUAAAAUUUAAAAAGUUUCACAAAAUAAAUUUCCAAAUACACAUUUGUACUAAUUAGUUAAUAGCAUCUGCAAUACAUAAGUCUUGUACAAUAAUCAAAAAUUGAAGGAAAAACUUGCCAAUGUGAGGCUUGAUUAUAACAGAGAUCAGAAAUAAUGUACAAAAUUUUGCAGUGAACAUAAGUAUUUGCUUGAUGAUUCAUGUUGUCACCUUCAUCGCACCCCCCCCCCCCCCUUUAUCUUCAUGCAUCUAAGAAUAUAUGAAGCACACUUACUAGACUGAAAUAAUGAAAUAACAUGAUCUUGUGAGAAACUUAUAUUUGAAUUCUCAAAACAUAUAAAGAUGCAUAUACAGUUACUAAUUAAAAAUAUUCAAUAAAUCAUGGAAUAAGAAAAAAUACUUAGCCAUGAAUUAGGUGAAAAAAGAUUUAAAGUUUUUUCAAACACAGAAGACAAAUGAGAAGCAUUUAAAUAAACAUCAUAAAUAGGGGAUGGAAAAAAGAAGUAAAACUUACAAUUUGGCAUAAAAAGAGAUUGAAAUUUCUCAAAGGCACAUUUUUCUUGAGUACCCUGUAAAUCAAAAACAAAUAAUUGAAGCAGAAACCCAAGUUAAUUGCUUGUAAGACACAAAACCUAUCAAAUCUUCAAAAUCGCACUCACUACUUAUGAAAUAUAAGGCAUAAUAUCUCUCAAAUUGUUAGAAUAACUCGUAAAUUGAAGUUAAAAAUCUAAAUCCAAGUAAAUGUAUGGAGAUUCAGAAACUCUAUGAUAUAGAGACAUGAGCUUACCCGGAUAGAGACAAACCAACACGUUAAAUUUCUGUCUAUAAAUAGAGAACCAGUGGAGAUACCAUCUUGUUCCUCUUUAUCUUUCUUGUGGCCUUAAUUAAGGCCGACUACUGAAGGUGGAAGAAAGACAUAAGAAAAUGGGGAGGGAGAGUGCGGCUGAGGGAGGAAGUAGGAAGUUUAGGUUUAGGUUUUAGAUUUACAUCGUCUACUUCUUAUAUAUGUUGCCUUAGUUUACUUCUAAUACAAA
RNAcentral lists this long non-coding RNA (2345 nucleotides) under Nicotiana tabacum (common tobacco). RNAcentral's name for it is "long non-coding RNA (NTAB_LNC001030)". Lineage: Eukaryota; Viridiplantae; Streptophyta; Magnoliopsida; Solanales; Solanaceae. The record is from RNAcentral.